Molecule: ribosomal RNA, 253 nt
Filed under: uncultured bacterium
Lineage: Bacteria
Description: partial 16S ribosomal RNA
Rfam family: Bacterial small subunit ribosomal RNA
Source: RNAcentral
UACGUAGGGUGCGAGCGUUAAUCGGAAUUACUGGGCGUAAGGCGCGUGUAGGCGGCUCGAUAAGUCUGCUGUGAAAGUCCAGGGCUCAACCCUGGGAUGCCGGUGGAUACUGUCGAGCUCGAGUCCGGAAGAGGCGAGUGGAAUUCCUGGUGUAGCGGUGAAAUGCGCAGAUAUCAGGAGGAACACCAAUGGCGAAGGCAGCUCGCUGGGACGUGACUGACGCUGAGACGCGAAAGCGUGGGGAGCAAACAGG